This 605-nucleotide ribosomal RNA is filed under the name Rhodovulum sp. JA900. RNAcentral's name for it is "bacterial SSU rRNA". It matches the Rfam family "Bacterial small subunit ribosomal RNA", at positions 92 to 732 of the family's 1533-position model. Lineage: Bacteria; Pseudomonadati; Pseudomonadota; Alphaproteobacteria; Rhodobacterales; Paracoccaceae. The record is from RNAcentral.
UUAGCGGCGGACGGGUGAGUAACGCGUGGGAACGUGCCCUUCUCUGCGGAAUAGGCUCGGGAAACUGGGUUUAAUACCGCAUACGCCCUUCGGGGGAAAGAUUUAUCGGAGAAGGAUCGGCCCGCGUUAGAUUAGGUAGUUGGUGGGGUAAUGGCCUACCAAGCCUACGAUCUAUAGCUGGUUUGAGAGGAUGAUCAGCCACACUGGGACUGAGACACGGCCCAGACUCCUACGGGAGGCAGCAGUGAGGAAUCUUGGACAAUGGGGGAAACCCUGAUCCAGCCAUGCCGCGUGAGCGAUGAAGGCCUUAGGGUUGUAAAGCUCUUUCAGUCGUGAAGAUAAUGACGGUAGCGACAGAAGAAGCCCCGGCUAACUCCGUGCCAGCAGCCGCGGUAAUACGGAGGGGGCUAGCGUUGUUCGGAAUUACUGGGCGUAAAGCGCGCGUAGGCGGACUAUUAAGUCAGGGGUGAAAUCCCGGGGCUCAACCCCGGAACUGCCUUUGAUACUGGUAGUCUAGAGUUCGAGAGAGGUGAGUGGAAUUCCGAGUGUAGAGGUGAAAUUCGUAGAUAUUCGGAGGAACACCAGUGGCGAAGGCGGCUCACUGG